GGCUCAGUAGCUCAGUUGGUAGAGCAACGGACUGAAAAUCCGUGUGUCGGCGGUUCGAUUCCGUCCUGAGCCA
Non-coding RNA from Bacillus sp. JCM 19045, 73 nucleotides. Lineage: Bacteria; Bacillati; Bacillota; Bacilli; Caryophanales; Bacillaceae. The record is from Rfam.